Molecule: ribosomal RNA, 255 nt
Filed under: uncultured bacterium
Lineage: Bacteria
Description: partial 16S ribosomal RNA
Rfam family: Bacterial small subunit ribosomal RNA
Source: RNAcentral
UACGAAGGUCCCGAGCGUUGUUCGGAAUCACUGGGCGUAAAGGGAGCGUAGGCGGCGUGGUAAGUCAGAUGUGAAAUCCCGGGGCUCAACCCCGGAACUGCAUCCGAUACUGCCGUGCUAGAGGAUUGGAGAGGUAGCUGGAAUUCUUGGUGUAGCAGUGAAAUGCGUGGAGAUCGAAGAGGAACACUCGUGGCGAAAGCGAGCUACUGGACAAUAUCUGACGCUGAGGCUCGAAGGCCAGGGUAGCGGAAAGGG